GACGUAGGGAGCGAGCGUUGUCCGGAUUCAUUGGGCGUAAAGCGCGCGUAGGCGGCUUCGCAAGUCGGUUGUGAAAAUCCGGGGCUCAACCCCGGACGUGCAUCCGAUACUGCGAGGCUUGAGGUAGGUAGGGGAGAUCGGAAUUCCUGGUGUAGCGGUGGAAUGCGCAGAUAUCAGGAGGAACACCGGUGGCGAAGGCGGAUCUCUGGGCCUUACCUGACGCUGAGGUGCGAAAGCUAGGGGAGCGAACAGG
Molecule: ribosomal RNA, 253 nt
Filed under: uncultured bacterium
Lineage: Bacteria
Description: partial 16S ribosomal RNA
Rfam family: Bacterial small subunit ribosomal RNA
Source: RNAcentral